UAAAAAAUUUUGAUAUGUGGCAUAAAUAUAUCUUAUAUAAUAAAGUAGAGUAUACUCUCUCCUCCUUCCUCCACAUCCUCAAGAAGAGUGGGGCUUUUUUCGCCACGUGUCGCCAAACCAAACCAACUGCGUCGUCUGAAUUUAUUUUUUCUAUUCCGGUUAUCUCAUCCGCUAUUUGGACUGGGCUAUUUUUACAGCUUAUGACUGGGCCUCUUGAAACAUUAUGAUAAGCCCAAACCUUUGAAAUAUUAUGACAAGCUCACUAAUUUUAGGUUUAUUCUUCUUUGCUAGCGACCUAUGUAGACUGCCCGAUGAAAACUUCAGAAACUAAAUCGCCGUUCCGAUCUCCUCCGUAGGGUCUCAAACUUCCAUUAAUCCAUGAUUGACUCUGAGUUUUUUGCAUGAUUAACCCACCACACCAUUUCCACUGGGAAGCAUUCAUUCAAUCGACCUCUUCGCAUCCCACAUCAACUCAAACCUUUUUUACAGCUUUUUAACCAUCCUGUCCUUUGGUGUGAUUGGUGUUUUCAUCUCUACUACCAUUAUUUUGUUUGGUAAAAAAUCCUUUUUACAUUCUUCAAACUUGUAUGCCUUGACUGACGACCAUGAUGAUGCAAACUUUAAAUCAUCAUCUGAACCAGGCACUUGGUGGCUGUCUCCCAAGUUGGGAUUCAAGGGAUUGACUGCUCGAGACUAUCUUGGUGAGACCUUAUAUUGUCUUUUAUCUGCAGCAUUUAUUUUAUUUUUUUAUCUUAUUGUUUUAGAUGGUUUUGAGAGUGAAUGUUUUCUUUUCUUGAUUCAGCCAUCCGAAGCAUAUUCUCAUCAAGUGAUACUGUUUGCACUCUACAGGUUCUUGAUUUUUGAAAAGAGUAUCUCUGUCCUGAGAUUCCUUCUUCUCAAGCUUGUAUGUUUACAAGAUUUUACAAUAUCCAUGUUAACAUUACAUAUUCUCCAUCAAGAUGAGACUCCAUUGCUAUACAGCUUAGUCCUUGGAGAAGGAGUAGUGAAUGAUGCAACCUCAGUUGUUCACUUCAACGUCGUUCAAAAGAUUCACGUCGAAAGCAUCUAUGGUUUGACGGCUCUACGAGUAUUUGAAAACUUUCUGUACCUCUUCUCCACAAGCACAAUCCUCGGAAUCGCUAUUUAAAACCCAGGGCAGAAGACAAAUGUAGCUUUUUAAAUGUUUUAUUAUCACUGCUGAUCCUCAGGUAAAGUCUGUUAUAUUCAAAUUUAGGACUCUUUGAGAAUAUAAUUCAGAAUUGUGUUCUUCUCCUAAACUUGACAGAUCAUUGAGUUUCUCUGUAGUGACUGCGAUUCAGAAAGAUGAGGGUUGGUGUUACAUUGGCUGCUUCGGGUGGUCAAAGAAACUCGUCCGAGAGGAAUCUUUCUUCACAUGUGUCGCCUGCAAUAAACUAAUGCUGUGGCUGAACUCAGGUACAGGGUGAUACUUUUUGUGUUAGACGACACUGGCACAUCGGCUUUCCUUGGCUUUGAUACGAAGGUGACUAAACUGACUGGCAUUGAAGCUUCUGAGGCUGCACAUAUUGUGGGGAUAUGUUAAUGCUCAGGUUGACACUGACCUGCCUCGAUCACUGGCUGAUAUUGUUGGGAGUACCUAUACCUUCCAGCUCAGAUUAAAAGACUUCAAUUUUACUGCAAACCACCAAACCUUUACCAUUUCCCUCAUAUUUCCUGCACGAGAGCUUGCACCUAUGCCAACCUUUGCUGAAGGUGUACAAGUCCCUGAAGCUGACACACCAGGAUCAUAUGCAAGACUUGCUAACACUUGCAAAGUUGCAGAGCAAGCAACUACAUCUGAUGUUUCACUUCCCGGGCGUUUAGCAGCAGCGAAAGAACAAGUUAUUCUGGAAAGAAUACCCCGAAGAAAGCACGUGUAGAAUGAGUCCCCUUAUAAUGCAGAGCUCAUCUGCGUCUUCUUUGGAGGGAAAUAUGGAGAGCAGAACAGCUCCUACCACAUACCAAGUCAUCCAUCUGCAAGUCUUGCACCCUCCUAUAAUCCUCGAUGGCAAACUCAGAAGAAUUUUCAGAGCAAGUAUUCACAGAUUGGUGAUAAGUAACGCUCCACCGAUGAGGUUUGAAUCACACAAACUUCUUUCGUCUAAGUGUGUGUGAGUUUAUGUCUAAGUGUCUAUAGUACUCCUAUGAAGACCCGAUAUCUAACCAACAUGGGAAGGCUCCAAACCCACCAAGUUGUGACAUACUCAACAUGAACCAUCUAUGCAACAAUUAUUACUACUUUAAAAGACCGGAACAGUUUGUCCUUUACAUUUCUCAAAGAUGAGCAAAAAACAUUUCCAGUCUUUACCUUUUUUAAGAAUGAUUAUUUCUCCCUUUUUUUGGGUCAAAGAUUAUUUCUCCCUUAUGUAUUGAGUUCUCCUAUAAAGUUUCAGUUUAAGCUUCCACCAUAAUAGACAUUAACUUCUCCGUCAUCCAUACAUACAAAAACACUAAAACAAUUUACAGAAAAAAUAAUAAUUAUUGCAUCGCUUGCAUUAGUAAGAAUCUUUAGAGAUAGGCUCGAGGGGAGUCGGAAAUGCCUUUACUUGACGUACAAGUGUGGGGUCUCCUAACCGAAUAGCAUAAACCAGAGGUUUUCCAUCAAACAUGCACUCAUAAAAUUCAUAUUUCAGGUUUCUAAAUUCUAUAUCAACAAUAUCAAAUGCACCAGAAAUUAAUAUUUUUUAAAUUCGUAUAUCUACAAGCAAUGCUCAUGUGUCCCUAAUCCCCAACUAAGGACUAUAUUAUAACUCUCCUACCAUCCCAGUUCAUUACGUAACUAGAUAUAUAAAAAUACAGUCUAUAUAAUUCAUCCAACGUCUACAGAAAAAAAAAUAGAAAUGAUUAAACAAAUAUAAGUUAAAUUAGCAGAAGCUUCAUUAUAUGAUCAAUUGGUUUAAAAACUAAGCACCCUAAGAAAACUUUGAAAUAAAUAGUACAAAUAUCGCUGCUUAAUUAAAACAUAAGAAUCCUGAACAAAAGGUAAAUAAUAGUUAUAUUAUUAAUAAAAUGUAACGUCAAUUAAAAACAUAUAAUAUAAUGCUCUCUUACAAAUCCACACUAAAUAAAAAUUAUUAGAGAUAAUUCUGAUAAAAAUUAACAAUCUAACGUAAACAAACAUUCAUCCAAAAAAACAAACCUUUUGAAUAAAUGAUCCUCUAAACAAAAUGUUACAAGAAGUCAAGAAAAUCGAUAACUUAAAUUCACCAUCUAUAAGACAUAGCUAUAACACCUUAUACUGAUUUUAAAUUUGAACUCACACAAAAUAACCAAAUAAUUAUUAACAACCACUUCUUUCUUUUGAGUUCUCACACUAAACAAGACCUUCAGGAGCGAAUCCACGGUGCACACUCCAAGUCUACAUCUAUAGGCUCAAUACACAACAAUCUAUCAUUGAUUUCAAUAAUCUAUCAUUGGUACUUAACUGUAUAAGUAUGUUCUCUGAAUAAAACAUCAACUUUACUUCAUAUUAAAUUCCAACUAAAUUAGCUUUGUCACAACUAUCGGCUAUUUAUUCUACUUUUAUUGAAUCGAUUAGUCAAAACCAUGUAUGCUAUUCUACUUUAAACUAAGCAACUUCAAAACAAAGUAAUGCACUACAUUCGCUAACCACUAUCAAAUUGAACGAAAAAAAUAUCAUUCUCUUCCAAAAUAUUUUCAUAUUUUUGAACAUAUUUUCUUUACUAAGUUUAUGAAUUGUAAAUUCAUGUAAGAAUAAAAUAUAGGAACCCGGCGCGUAGCGCCGGAAUACCACUA
Long non-coding RNA from Brassica napus (rape), 3774 nucleotides. RefSeq lists it as uncharacterized. NCBI's taxonomy places the organism in Eukaryota, Viridiplantae, Streptophyta, Magnoliopsida, Brassicales, Brassicaceae. The transcript has 5 exons. The record is from RefSeq and is a predicted model, not a curated record.